Molecule: long non-coding RNA, 669 nt
Organism: Triticum dicoccoides
Lineage: Eukaryota; Viridiplantae; Streptophyta; Magnoliopsida; Poales; Poaceae
Exons: 4
Source: RefSeq, a predicted model, not a curated record
CCCGCCUCCCUGGAUUCGCUCCUGCCGCGAGGGUUCCAGCCCGGCGCCACCUGCAGCGGUGUGCCGCCUCCUUGGAAACCCUCCGCUGCGGUGUGCCGAUCCUGCCCGAUGCCUCCCUGCCCCACCGCCCCCUGCAGCGGCUCCCUCCGUCGAGCAGCCGGUGACGCCCAACACCGGCCACCAGUCCGUGGGAAAAUGGAUUAGGACCCUGGAGGAGCUCACCUGAAGCUCGCCGGAGUAAAAAGGAAUCUCAUGAUGAUGAUUGCCAUAAAGUGUUCAUGGAUGACUUUGAUCAUAACUGUUUUUCAGAGGGACUUCGACAAGGUGUGGUUGAUCUUUGAUUCCACGCAAUCGAGGGAGUUCCGCAAGCUUGGAUUUUGCAGAUUUUCUUAGCUUUGCUGAUAGUUAGGUGCACCUGGAAGUGGUCUCAUUUUGACGUUGGGUUCCCUUGGUUGGUUAGAUCGUGCAAGGCAUCAUCAGCGAGCUAGAGCAGCAGGGGGCGCUGCCAAGGAGCAACUCUAGAGUUUUCUCACCUGCCACUUGCUGUGUGCCGUGGUCAGUCCUCAUGAAUGCCUCUAACUUGGUCUGCUAGUCCAGUUUGUGUUGCUUGUGGUAGAGUCCAAUGUAUUCGUCGAAACCUUAUUAUUAAGGGCAUGUUUGGUUCGUGUC